RNAcentral lists this ribosomal RNA (468 nucleotides) under uncultured bacterium. Its description in RNAcentral is "partial 16S ribosomal RNA". It matches the Rfam family "Bacterial small subunit ribosomal RNA", at positions 28 to 507 of the family's 1533-position model. The record is from RNAcentral.
GACGAACGCUGGCGGCGUGCUUAACACAUGCAAGUCGAACGGAAAGGCCCUGCUUUUGUGGGGUGCUCGAGUGGCGAACGGGUGAGUAACACGUGAGUAACCUGCCCUUGACUUUGGGAUAACUUCAGGAAACUGGGGCUAAUACCGGAUAGGAGCUCCUGCUGCAUGGUGGGGGUUGGAAAGUUUCGGCGGUUGGGGAUGGACUCGCGGCUUAUCAGCUUGUUGGUGGGGUAGUGGCUUACCAAGGCUUUGACGGGUAGCCGGCCUGAGAGGGUGACCGGCCACAUUGGGACUGAGAUACGGCCCAGACGCCGACGGGAGGCAGCAGUGGGGAAUAUUGCACAAUGGGCGGAAGCCUGAUGCAGCAACGCCGCGUGCGGGAUGACGGCCUUCGGGUUGUAAACCGAUUUCGCCUGUGACGAAGCGUGAGUGACGGUAAUGGGUAAAGAAGCACCGGCUAACUACGUG